AGAUGUGAAUGUCGUGUGAUGUUGGCUUUCCAGUGUCUUGCAUGGUGUGGUAGCAGCAGAAAUGAGCUUGGCUGGGCACCCUCUCUGGGCCUUGGAGGACAGCCUGGGCCCUUCUGAAAAUACAGGCAGCUUCCUUUCCCUGACUCGCCUGGAGGGGCAAGGCCCUGUGGUGCGGUCUGGCUCUGAGGCCUGUGGUCCUGCUUGGGACUGGCAGUCUUAGGCUGAGAGAACAUUUUCCAGAGUAUAGCCGAGGGACAGAAUGUCUCAGUAAGACGGGCUUGGAGGGGCAGGGUUUUGGAAAGGCCUCUGCUUGUUCUGGGAGGCGUUCAGGAUGCUGAGGUUUUGGAAAUUCAUGGCAGCUCUUCACAACUGCUCCCAGCUUUGGGAGGAGGAAUAGACGGGUGCUCGUUUCCUUGGGUUCAGUGGCAAAGGUGAAGCCCAGCACUGCCGACCUGGGACCUGGGCCUCUCCAUGGCCUGGGGAGGACACUGGACUUUGAAGAGGAGUGCAGCCUAGGAAGCCUGGACCCUGGAGUCAUGAGAUGCUGCUCCCAUCCAGUAAGCCCUGGCUGGAGCUCUGCUGGGCACUGACCCUGGCAUAAAACCAGUGGGGCCUCUGGGCCUGCAUUCAACUGUGCCUCUGAUGGAGCAGGUUCAGCUUGGUUGUGACCUCUGCUGGAAGCCCUCCCUGGCCCCCCUGUGCACUGAGCUGGCGGUUCCUCCUCUGUGCCCCAGGAGCUGCGAUGGAAGAAGUCUGGAUACCCUCUUGGAGAAAUCCACACGGAGAGGAGAUGUGGAAAAGCCACAUGGAGAAGGAGGGGCCCAUAGAGGACAGAAAGAGAGAAGGAACCCCAGCAAUGCACUAGUCCCAGCCGAGCCCAGCCCUCCGGGUCCUUUCCAGGGUGCUCGACAUAUAAGGCCAUCAUCUUGACUCAGCCAGCCCAGUCUAGCUCCCAGAUGACUUCAGUUCCAGCUGCCAUCUGGCUGCAGCAGCAUAAAAGUCCCUCAGUGAGAUCAGUGGAAGAACUGCUCAGCCAACUUAUAAAGUUGUGAGAGAUAAUAAAUGUUUGUUGUCCAUUUUAAGCCACUGCAUUUUAGAGUGGUUUGAUACAUACAGGUAGAUAACCAAAAAGUAAGUGCCUAGGACAGCGCCUGCCAUAUAGCAGGCAUUCAAUAAAUAUUGACUGACUA
Rhinopithecus roxellana (golden snub-nosed monkey) is the source of this 1190-nucleotide long non-coding RNA. RefSeq lists it as uncharacterized. NCBI's taxonomy places the organism in Eukaryota, Metazoa, Chordata, Mammalia, Primates, Cercopithecidae. The transcript is spliced from 3 exons. The record is from RefSeq and is a predicted model, not a curated record.